UUGUGUCACAUAGCUGCCCUUCCCUACUUCUCAGCCCUCCAAAAGGCACAAUGUCUUCCAUCAGGCAAAAGUGACACCACAACAUUCAUUAUAGGAAGUAAGAGACAUUCAUCACUGGAAUAUUUUAGCAAAUGAAUCACAACAGACUGAUAGCAUAACUCAUGUUCUAAGGCCAAGAACAAGAAUUGCAUAGUUUAUUUUAAGACAGCAGAAGAGUAAAAAACAGAUUGAAAAACAUAUGAUACCCUCUCCAGCUCAGAGCUCUACAAACAGCAGUGGCGUUUGCAAAGUUCUAUGUAUCUUCUCAAAUGUGGUUUCAGUUUUAAUGUGUGUUGACAUCUUUGUGUGCAGAACUAACUGGAGGAACAACAGUUUGUGCUUUUUUUCCCUUCUUGCUACAAGGGUGAGAACAGGGAAAGAACCAAACGAUCUGUGUUUACUUUGAGCAGCCAUACACCAUGCAUGGACACUAAGCUUCUUACUGCUUCUGAUUAGUGACCUCAAUUGAGACUCAUUGCUCAUUGCAAAGACUGCUAAUGGAUUGUUUGAGCCUGAAUGUGUUAGGAUGGAAUAUUUCUUCUUCUCAGAUUCAAGGCCAGUUUUUUUCCACCCCAAGUCCAUUCUACCCAGAGUUCUAGAUGAUGAUGGUCAGGUUAUUCAAGAUAAUGAUUAUGUUUUCUAGAUGAUUUAAAAUGAAGUUCAACUUUUAUUAUCUUCCCUAUAAUGAUAUUUGUAGUCUUUAUGUUCAAUAACAAGCUGUCAGGCUGCCUCAGUUUAAGCCAAGGCAUUUUCUUAUCAAAACCCAUCACAGAAAAAGAUACAAUCAUGAAACCACAGAUUCUUGUAGCUCUUCACAGUAAACUUUAACUAUGAAUAACCUCUUGGAUUAUUAGCCGAUUGUGAUUACAUUUAUAUUAUUUGCUCACAUGCUUUGUCACUUUAGAGCCCUGAAAACCCUGUUCAUUGUUGCUAGGAGAUGGGUGGCUAUGGCAACAGUGUGGGUCAGAGCCAGAUGGAAUGCCUAAAGCAUAAUCAGGUUUAGGCUUUUUUUUGAUCUCCAAAUGACUCCAUGGCAGUCCUGAGCACGGAAGCCCCAAAUCACUGCCUCUUCAGCUUGUUUCAAAAGACUGAGUCUCACACUGUCACCCGGGCUGGAGUGCAGUAGUGUGAUCUUGGUUCACUGCAACCACCGCCUCCCAGGUUCAAGCAAUUCUUCUGCCUCAGCUUCCUGAGUAGCUGGGAUUACAGGAGCCAGCCACCACACCCAGACAUAUUCCUUGAAGGUAGAAUCACUGUCAGCAGAGUCCUUGCCAGGAACGACUUUCCAGUGAAGGAGACAAUGGAAAUUUGGACAACAUUUUGAAAACCACUAACAGUAACAACGUGUUAAUAAUAAUUAAAACAUUAAGAUGAAGAAGACAAAGAAGGAGAAAUAUGAAGGGAUUGCUAAUUGCUGGUGUUCUGCAUUUGUUUUCUUAUUUAAUCCUCAUCAUAACCUUAUGAGGUGUUUCUCUCGGGAAAAGAGAGAAAUUGUUGGCAGAAAAUAAUGAAAACACAAGGACUUGUGCUAUGUGCUGAAAGAAUUGCUCCUGAAACGAUAAAGGUGAAAUGCAGAUAAAGACAAUCAAGAUACAGCCUUUUUUAAAAAAUUAUUUCCAUUCCAGUCCUAUCCAUCCUGGCUAUAAAGUGACUCUCAACCCAAAGAUCUGGAAACUCCAGUUAAAUAAUGCACAUUUAAUUAUUUUGGUGCCCUUUUGGUAUCUAAUGCAUGCUAUAGAUGAUUGCACUGUCAUUUUAACACUGAGAGGUACAAAAUAAUAGGUCCAUUUUCAAAAGACGUGGCCUUAACAGAACUAGUAUUUUUACUUUUAGUAUCCAAAGUACUAGAAUAAAGGAAACUGCUAAAUGUAACGUAAAGUGGAAAUGCACAUACAUUUAGUCAUUGCAAGCACUAUGUCAUAUAAAAGCUUAGUUAAAUGCUGCAUUUUAGCAGAUUAGCCUUUCCCACCUGAAAUAGUGUCUUAGUUCAUUUGUGUGGCUAUAACAGAAUAGCACCAGUGAGGUAAUUUAUGAAGAACUAAAAUUUGUCUCUCACAGUUCUGAAGGCUAGGAAGUCUAAGAUCAAGGUGUCAGCAACUUGCAUGGACUUUCUUGCUGCAUUCUCACAGGCAGAAAAGGCAGAAGGGCAAGAAAGGAAAAGUUUUAUCCUCACAUGGCAGAAAGGUAGAUGAGA
Molecule: long non-coding RNA, 2233 nt
Filed under: Homo sapiens (human)
Lineage: Eukaryota; Metazoa; Chordata; Mammalia; Primates; Hominidae
Description: HSALNT0328613
Source: RNAcentral